Molecule: long non-coding RNA, 577 nt
Filed under: Mustela putorius furo (domestic ferret)
Lineage: Eukaryota; Metazoa; Chordata; Mammalia; Carnivora; Mustelidae
Description: lncRNA (ENSMPUG00000029548.1)
Source: RNAcentral
CUAAUGGGUGGUUAAACAAAUUAAAGCAGAAACUUCAGAAAGCAGAUCAUUUCCCAAAGUCCUUCCAUUUUACUGAUAGGUAACGGAAGCCACAAGAAAUGGAACCUUCUCCAUGGCCAGUUACUAAGAAGAGCUACCAGCAGUUCCUCGUUCAACUGCCAGGAGUAAAUUUGCUUUUCAUAGCCAGACAGCUGCAGAGGCAGAGAAAAAUGCAGAGGCCCAAAUGGGAGGCGUGUAUUCAGAAGCCCGACCUGCGGGAAAGGUCCCAGGCAGCGACCCGAGCACCGAGCUUUCCCUUACAUUAUGCACAACCUGGAUAUUUGGACCUGCUGCUCAGUGGAUCCUGUCCUUCUGUGAAGGUGUCAUUAUACACUUAAAAAAAUGCACUUGCAUGAUACGCAUUCCAAGAAAUUACCUUAAGAUUUGUUUCACCAUUAAAGUGACAUUCCCAGCUGUGCUCCAAUCAACUGGAUAAAAGCAGAGAACCCAUCAGAAGUUGUUCCUGGUUGACUAUCACCUUUCAAAGUAUGUGUGUGUGGGAAAAAGCCCUCAUCCCUCUCCACUAUUGUUAAAAAUA